Molecule: long non-coding RNA, 4500 nt
Organism: Bombina bombina (fire-bellied toad)
Lineage: Eukaryota; Metazoa; Chordata; Amphibia; Anura; Bombinatoridae
Exons: 2
Source: RefSeq, a predicted model, not a curated record
GCGAGGAAUGUGAGUGAUUAAUAUGAGGAAAAUAGAUGAGGAAUGUGAAUGAUCAAUAUGAGGAAAAGAGGUGAGGAAUGUUAAUGAUCAAUAUGAGGAAAAGAGAUGAGGAAUGUGAGUGAUUAAUAUGAGGAAAGAGUUGAGGAAUGUGAAUAAAUAAUAUGAGGAAAAGAGGUCAGGAAUGUGAGUGAUUAAUAUGAGGAAAAGAGGUGUGGAAUGUGAGUAAUUAAUAUGAGGAAACGAGGUGAGGAAUGUGAGUGAUUAAUAUGAGGAAAAUAGAUGAGGAAUGUGAAUGAUCAAUAUGAGGAAAAGAGGUGAGGAAUGUGAGUGAUCAAUAUGAGGAAAAGAGAUGAGGAAUGUGAGUGAUUAAUAUAAGGAAAGAGGUGAGGAAUGUGAAUAAAUAAUAUGAGGAAAAGAGGUCAGGAAUGUGAGUGAUUAAUAUGAGGAAAAGAGGUGUGGAAUGUGAGUAAUUAAUAUGAGGAAAUGAGGUGAGGAAUGUGAGUAAUUAAUAUGAGGAAAAGAGAUGAGGAUGGAAUGUGAGUGAUUAAUAUGAGGAAAGAGGUGAGGAAUGUGAGGGAUUAAUAUGAGGAAUAAAGGUGAGAAAUGUGAGGGAUUAAUAUAAGUAAAACAGGUGAGGAAUUUGAAUGAUUAAUAUGAGGAAAGAGAUGAGGAAUGUGAGUGAUUAAUAUGAGGAAAAGAAGUGAGGAAUGUGAGUGCUCAAUAUGAGGAAAAGAGGUGAGGAUUGUGAGUGAUUAAUAUGAGGAAAAGAGGUGAGGAAUGUGAAUGAUUAAUAUGAGGAAAAGAGAUGAGGAAUGUGAAUGAUCAAUAUGAGAAAAAGAGGUGAUGAACGCCAGUGAUUAACAUGAGGAAAAGAGAUGAGGAAUGUGAGUGAUUCAUAUGAGGAAAAGAGAUGAGGAAUGUGAAUGAAUAAUAUGAGGAAAAGAGGUGAGGAAUGUGAGUGAUUAAUAUGAGGAAAAGAGGUGUGGAAUGUGAGUGUUCAAUAUGAGGAAUAGAGGUAAGGAAUGUGAGUGAUUAAUAUGAGGAAAAGAGGUGAGGAACGUGAGGGCUCAAUUUGAGGAAAAUAAGUGAGGAAUGUGAUUUAUUAAUAUGAGGAAAAGGGAUGAGGAAUGUGAAUGAUCAAUAAGUGGAAAAGAGGUGAGGAAUGUGAGUGAUUAAUAUGAGGAAAAUAGAUGAGGAAUGUGAAUGAUCAAUAUGAGGAAAAGAGGUGAAGAAUGUGAAUGAUCAAUAUGAGGAAAAGAGAUAAGGAAUGUGAGUGAUUAAUAUGAGGAAAGAGGUGAGGAAUGUGAAUAAAUAAUAUGAGGAAAAGAGGUCAGGAAUGUGAGUGAUUAUUAUGAGGAAAAGAGGUGUGGAAUGUGAGUAAUUAAUAUGAGGAAAUGAGGUGAGGAAUGUGAGUGAUUAAUAUGAGGAAAAGAGGUGAGGAACGUGAGGGCUCAAUUUGAGGAAAAUAGGUGAGGAAUGUGAUUGAUUAAUAUGAGGAAAAGAGAUGAGGAAUGUGAAUGAUCAAUAUGAGGAAAAGAGGUGAGGAAUGUGAGUGAUUAAUAUGAGGAAAAUAGAUGAGGAAUGUGAAUGAUCCAUAUGAGGAAAAGAGGUGAGGAAUGUGAAUGAUCAAUAUGAGGAAAAGAGAUGAGGAAUGUGAGUGAUUAAUAUGAGGAAAGAGUUGAGGAAUGUGAAUAAAUAAUAUGAGGAAAAGAGGUCAGGAAUGUGAGUGAUUACUAUGAGGAAAAGAGGUGUGGAAUGUGAGUAAUUAAUAUGAGGAAAUGAGGUGAGGAAUGUGAGUGAUUAAUAUGAGGAAAAUAGAUGAGGAAUGUGAAUGUUCAAUAUGAGGAAAAGAGGUGAGGAAUGUGAGUGAUCAAUAUGAGGAAAAGAGAUGAGGAAUGUGAGUGAUUAAUAUGAGGAAAGAGGUGAGGAAUGUGAAUAAAUAAUAUGAGGAAAAGAGAUCAGGAAUGUGAGUGAUUAAUAUGAGGAAGAGAGGUGUGGAAUGUGAGUAAUUAAUAUGAGGAAAUGAGGUGAGGAAUGUGAGUGAUUCAUAUGAGGAAAAGAGAUGAGGAUGGAAUGUGAGUGAUUAAUAUGAGGAAAGAGGUGAGGAAUUUGAAUGAUUAAUAUGAGGAAAGAGAUGAGGAAUGUGAGUGAUUAAUUGGAGGAAAAGAAGUGAGGAAUGUGAGUGCUCAAUAUGAGGAAAAGAGGUGAGGAUUGUGAGUGAUUAAUAUGAGGAAAAGAGAUAAGGAAUGUGAGUGAUUAUUAUGAGGAAAAGCGGUGAGGAAUGUGAAUGAUUAAUACGAGGAAAAGAGGUGAGGAAUGUGAAUGAAUAAUAUGAGGAAAAGAGAUGAUGAAUGUAAAUUAAUAAUAUGAGGAAAAGAGAUGAGGAAUGUGAAUGAAUAAUAUGAGGAAAAGAGGUGAGGAAUGUAAGUAAUUAAUAUGAGGAAAAGAGGUGAGGAAUGUGAGUGAUUAAUAUGAGGAAAAGAGGUGAGGAAUGUGAAAGAUCAAUAUGAGGAAAGAGGUGAGGAAAGUGAGUGAUUAAUAUGAGGAAAAGCGGUGAGGAAUGUGAGUGAUCAAUAUGAGGAAAAGAGGUGAGGAAUGUGAAUGAUUAAUAUGAGGAAAAGAGGUGAUGAACGUCAGUGAUUAACAUGAGGAAAAGAGAUGAGGAAUGUGAGUGAUUAAUAUGAGGAAAAGAGAUGAGGAAUAUGAAUGAAUAAUAUGAGGAAAAGAGGUGAGGAAUGUGAGUGAUUAAUAUGAGGAAAAGAGAUGUGGAAUGUGAGUGUUCAAUAUGAGGAAUAGAGGUAAGGAAUGUGAGUGAUUAAUAUGAGGAAAAGAGGUGAGGAACGUGAGGGCUCAAUUUGAGGAAAAUAGGUGAGGAAUGUGAGUGAUUAAUAUGAGGAAAAGAGAUGAGGAAUGUGAGUGAUUAAUAUGAGGAAAAACGAUGAGGAAUGUGAGUGAUUAAUAAGAGGAAACGAGGUGGGGAAUGUGAAUGAUUAAUAUGAGGAAAAGAGGUGAGAAAUGUGAGUGAAUAAUAUGAGGAAAAUAGGUGAGGAAUGUGAUCAAUAUGAGUAAAAGAGAUGAGGAAUGUGAGUGAUUAACAUGAGGAAAAGAGAUGAGGAAUCUGAGUGAUUAAUAUGAGGAAAAGAGAUGAGGAAUGUGAAUGAUCAAUAUGAGAAAAAGAGGUGAGGAACGUGAGUGUUUAACAUGAGGAAAAGAGGUGAGAAAUGUGAGUGAUUAAUAUGAGGAAAAGAGGUGAGGAAUGUAAGUGAUUAAUAUGAGGAAAAGAGGUGAGGAACGUGAGUGAUUAAUAUGAGGAAAGGAGGUGAGGAAUGUGAGUGAUCAAUAUGAGGAAAAGAGGUGAGGAAUGUGAAUGAUCAAUAUGAGGAAAAGAGGUGGGGAAUGUGAGUGAUUAAUAUGAGGAAAAGAGGUGAGGAAUGUGAAUGAUCAAUAUGAGGAAAGAGGUGAGGAAUGUGAGUGAAUAAUAUGAGGAAAAGAGGUGAGAAAUGUGAGUGAUUAAUAUGAGGAAAAGAGGUGAGGAAUGUGAAUGAUCAAUAUGAGGAAAGAGGUGAGGAAUGUGAGUUAUUAAUAUGAGGAAAAGAGGUGAGGAAUGUGAAUGAAUAAUAUGGGGAAAAGAGAUGAUGAAUGUAAAUGAAUAAUAUGAGGAAAAGAGACGAGGAAUGUGAAUGAAUAAUAUGAGGAAAAGAGGUGAGGAAUGUAAGUAAUUAAUAUGAGGAAAAGAGGUGAGGAAUGUGAGUGAUUAAUAUGAGGAAAAGAGGUGAGGAAUGUGAAAGAUCAAUAUGAGGAAAGAGGUGAGGAAAGUGAGUGAAUAAUAUGAGGAAAAGAGGUGAGAAAUGUGAGUGAUUAAUAUGAAGAAAAGAGGUGAGGAAUGUGAAUGAUCAAUAUGAGGAAAGAGGUGAGGAAUGUGAGUUAUUAAUAUGAGGAAAAGAGGUGAGGAAUGUGAAUGAAUAAUAUGAGGAAAAGAGAUGAGGGAUGUGAAUGAAUAAUAUGAGGAAAAGAGAUGAUUAAUGUAAAUGAAUAAUAUGAGGAAAAGAGACAAGGAAUGUGAAUGAAUAAUAUGAGGAAAAGAGGUGAGGAAUGUAAGUAAUUAAUAUGAGGAAAAGAGGUGAGGAAUGUGAGAGAUUAAUAUGAGGAAAAGAGGUGAGGAAUGUGAAAGAUCAAUAUGAGGAAAGAGGUGAGGAAAGUGAGUGAUUAAUAUGAGGAAAAGAAGUGAGAAAUGUGAGUGAUUAAUAUGAGGAAAAGAGGUGAGGAAUGUGAAUGAUCAAUAUGAGGAAAGAGGUGAGGAAUGUGAGUGAUUAAUAUGAGGAAAAGAGGUGAGAAAUGUGAGUUAUUAAUACGAGGAAAAGAGGUGAGGAAUGUGAAUGAUCAAUAUGAGGAAAAGAGGUGAGGAAUGUGAGUCAUUAAUACGAGGAAAAGAGGUGAGGAAUGUGAAUGAAUAAUAUGAGGAAAAGAGAUGAUGAAUGUAAAUGAAUAAUAUGAGGAAAA